Non-coding RNA from Electrophorus electricus (electric eel), 229 nucleotides. NCBI's taxonomy places the organism in Eukaryota, Metazoa, Chordata, Actinopteri, Gymnotiformes, Gymnotidae. The record is from RefSeq and is a predicted model, not a curated record.
UGUUGCAUUGUGGGAAUUGUAGUCCAUCUUUUUGCUCUUCCUGUGAUUGUGUGUGUGGGUGAGGCAGCGUGAGAGACGAGGCUCUGUCUUCAGGAACUUGGAUGGAACUUCUCUUCUGAUUCAGUAUGCUGCACGUUGUGUAGACUGGAAGAUGGGAUCUGUGCUGUCUGCGUGUGGUCUGACGUUCAGGAAAGACAAAGUACAAGGAGAGAGGCAUUUACGAGCCAAC